UACGUAGGGGGCUAGCGUUGUCCGGAAUCAUUGGGCGUAAAGCGCGUGUAGGCGGCCCGGUAAGUCCGCUGUGAAAGUCGGGGGCUCAACCCUCGGAUGCCGGUGGAUACUGUCGGGCUCGAGUACGGAAGAGGCGAGUGGAAUUCCUGGUGUAGCGGUGAAAUGCGCAGAUAUCAGGAAGAACACCCGUGGCGAAGGCGGCUCUCUGGGACGGUACUGACGCUGAGACGCGAAAGCGUGGGGAGCGAACAGG
RNAcentral lists this ribosomal RNA (253 nucleotides) under uncultured bacterium. Its description in RNAcentral is "partial 16S ribosomal RNA". It matches the Rfam family "Bacterial small subunit ribosomal RNA", at positions 524 to 776 of the family's 1533-position model. The record is from RNAcentral.